RNAcentral lists this non-coding RNA (141 nucleotides) under Allomuricauda sp. RNAcentral describes it as "Muricauda sp. SAM-I sequence". It matches the Rfam family "SAM riboswitch aptamer (S box leader)". Rfam says of the family: The SAM riboswitch is found upstream of a number of genes which code for proteins involved in methionine or cysteine biosynthesis in Gram-positive bacteria. The SAM riboswitch acts at the level of transcription termination control. Lineage: Bacteria; Pseudomonadati; Bacteroidota; Flavobacteriia; Flavobacteriales; Flavobacteriaceae. The record is from RNAcentral.
GUGUUAUCAAGAAAGGUGGAGGGAUUGGACCCUGUGAAGCCUUAGCAACCCUCGACUUCGAGAAGGUGCUACAUUCUACCCUUGUCUUGAACUGGUUUCGAGACCUUUGGGAACUUUAAUCUGUAAGGGGAAGGAUAACGU